Long non-coding RNA from Paramormyrops kingsleyae, 3765 nucleotides. RefSeq lists it as uncharacterized. Lineage: Eukaryota; Metazoa; Chordata; Actinopteri; Osteoglossiformes; Mormyridae. The record is from RefSeq and is a predicted model, not a curated record.
UCGGGAUAACUGCUCUUUACAAUUAUUUGUAUGUGUAUAUGGUUUUUGUUUUAUGUGGUUAAUAACAGUACGCGAUUUGUUAUUUAAAGUACAAGCGCUGAAGACUAGGCAGAAAACGGGACUCGGCCGUGAGUUUGCGCAGGACGCGGCUAGCUGAGGCAUGACGUCAUCGGCCUUAGUGCAGACAUCUUCCUGUCAGAAGGCACCCAGCGCUGAGCCCUGCCAGGACAUUCCAAGCCAUUCCACGCCAUCUGGGCUCUAAGUAGUGAGUGUGAACUGAGGAUUUUUGGCUCCUCCAUCGCUGUUUGCUGCUCCAGCCCUAUUGUGGAUCCUCGGCAGCAUUUCCACUUAUUUUUCAGACUCAGUUGGUUUUCACACAAUUAAUUCACACCUAAAUAGUUUUUCCACAUAGAUUUUAGCACUGGAACAGCAGACAUUUCCAUGAAGGGGCGGGGGUAGUUUUUCACCCUCUGCUGUCAUGUGCUUUUAUCAUUGAUUGGUGAUGUUUCUCUCUGCUCCAACCUGACACUGACCUACUUAUAAAAGCCACCUUUUCCAUCCUUACUCUUUCGUUACCUACGGCCGUCCUCCUCAUGCUAUGGUGUCUUGUCAGGGCAGGAUUGUCAGUCACCCAUUGCAAACAGGUCUAAACAGAAGUGCCAGACGAAAUCUACCACCAGCUUGUUGGCCAGCAGUGAUACAGAAGAGCAGAGGUGUUAGUGGAGGAGGAUCACAGUGGUGACGACGGCAAUGACACUAUUUCAAACUGUGCGGAAGAAGGCAACAUGAACCACUUCUGUACCUUACCCAGAAAAUGACAGACAAACCUGAAUGAACAAUGAUAUAGUGCUGAAAUAGAAGGCACUACUGAGGAGACCCGACGAUCCUUUGGGGUCCAGCUGGUGUUUAUGAUGUAGGUGAAUCAAAGCCUUUGGAUGUCCAAUUUACAAUAUUGCCACGCUGGAAAAGAAAGUCUGAAGCUUCAAAGAUAGGAUCAUCAUUGAGCAGGAAAAAAAUGGAACCAAAGUAAGGAGUCUGCAUUAGGGAAAGACAAAAGUGAACUACUUAUAUAACUCUGGAAAAAAAUUAGGGACCACGGCAAAAUUUUCAGUUUCACUCAUUUCUCAAUUUAUGGAUAUGAACCUGUGUAAAAUAUACAUUUUUUUGUGCAAACUCCAGCCUGGCUCUUCCCUGCUUCUCAUUAAUGUAGGGCUUCUUCCUUGCUUUAUGGGACUUCUAGAAGCCUGUAAUGAUUUUUCCUAGCAGUGCACUUCACAACACUUUAUGUUUCCCAUUUUUUCUAAAGGUUACUUUAGGUCAUCCUCCAGAUAAGUUAACGGUCAUCUCUGGCAUUAGAAAGUCGCUUCUGCCCUUUACUUGGCUGAUUUCUGGUCAUUCCCAGUGUCUCCUGCUUCACCUUCACCUGUGUACUGCUGUCUUAGACAUUUUGAACCUGGAAGCAACCUGCUGCUCAGCGUAGCUUCUGCCAGCAGAACCACGAUUAAACCAGGAUUUAAAAAAAAUGUAUAGAGUGGUCUCUUAAUUGUUAGUCAACUUCUUUGUCAUUAUUGAAUUUAAAUGGACUGGCCUGGGACACUUUCAGUUAGGUGAACACAUCUUUAGCUACUGAGAAAUUGGACAACAUAGAAAAAAUGGUGUGGCUUUCAUAGUCAGGAAGGGCACUGAAAAGACUGCAACUGGAUACAAUGCUGCGGCUGAGGGAUAUUUCCCCUCAUCCCUUCAAUAUGACAGUUAUACAGGCUCAUGCCCCGAUAAGUGCUGCUGACAAAGAGGAAAAUUCUAAAGUUCUAUGAGCAGAUUCAGACUGAAAUACGCAGGAAAUGCAGCGAGAUAUGUACCUGGCGACGGGAGACCGGGAUGCCAUAGUAAGAAGUGAGAAGGUGAGAAACUCAGUUGGCUGGUGUAGCCUUGGACGAGCUAAGCUGGAACCAAGCAGCACUGACUAAUCAGACCCUGCGAAUCCAACAACCUCUUCAUUGCCAAUAUAUUCUUCAAGCAACCUAGACAUCAGCAGAUAGUUCACAGAAAUCAAACAGAACACGUUUUCGAUACCAAACUAUGCAAGAGCCCAGUUCAAACAGCAAAGAAUUCCGUUUGCCGAAGAUUAUGAACAGAUAAUGAACUAUGUAUGUGUGACCUCCAAGUGAAGCUGAAAAGGAACAUGGUCAUCUGACUUACCCUGAGAGUAUGCCCUCUGACUUCAGAGAAAACACCAGAAACUGGUUAGAAAUGUUGGGCCUACACAAGAGAGACAGAAUUCAAAGAAAAUCUGAGAAAAAAAACUGGUCAAAAUGCAGGAGCCAACAAAAUCAAAGUGGAUGACAGAAAGAACAGUGGAACCUGCAAAUAAGUCAAAAUCAGGAAAAGAUUAAAGUUCUAAAUCACAAAUUCCCAAAAGCAUCUAGGAGAGACAAAUAUUACGGAAUCUACAAAGUCAUUGUAGCAGGAAACACAUCUCAGUGUUUUUCAGGAGAUUAAAAUGAAGGUCCAGGCCCCGAGUAGCACACAGAAAGACAUCAACAGGCAAAUAACUGGACUUCUUAUAUUCAGCACGGGGUCUUCUGGUGUUUCUCCAUCAAAAGCUCCUGCCCAGCCUAGAGCAGCUGGCUUUCGAUGGCUGACUUCACAUCCUGCCCUCUCUGCCAUCCCUCGACCUUUCGGGGGCGACAGUGGCGUGACGGAUGGGAUCCCAGAUUCAUGCAGACUUCCCCGGUGUGUAUUUUGUGACAGAGCUUCAUGGGGGGCCACAGCUGUCACACAAACAACCCCCCCAACUCCCAUUACCAUUAGUAUUAGCAGGAGUAUGAGAUAAAGGAAAGGCUUCCAGCCAUUUCUGGGGACGUGACUGAUGCCCAUCUGCAAAGCAACCUGAUGGCCCUUUUGUUGAUAAAAGAUUAUUGAUAAAUCGUCCUCAGACCUGAGAUCAGUAUGUGUCACCUGCAAGGAAAAGGCUGUUUAGCUUCUUUGGAACUGAAAACAAAAAAGGUUCAAAAUUUAGUACAGUGUUCCUCAGUUCUGGUCCUAGAGGGCCAGAAUCUCAGAGUUUGCAGAUUUCCCUGCUCAAACACACCUGAUUCAGCUAAUUACCAGGUUUCAUAGGUAUGUCUGACCAGAGAAAUCUGCAAAUUGUGUUGCAAAAUGGCCCUCCAGCACUAGAAUUGGGGAAACCUGAUUUUGUGUAAUUUGGAAUGUUACCCAGUGAUUACUGAUGAAAAGGGUUAAUGUCUGAAGGUGCUGUCCUUGGAUAAGCAGCUCUUUACCCCCAACCUGAAUUCUCCCCUGCUGCUCAAUCUAAGGCUAAUACUAACCUUGCGCUAAUGUUAACAGCUACUUAUUGGUUAGUUUAAGCUGCAAAGAGCACUGAGCACCUCUGAGAUGUCUACUGUAGUAUCUGAACACCUCUGGGAUGUUUGCUGGGGUGUUGUGAUUUUCUUUAAUCAUCACUUUUUAAUAGGAAAAUGGAAAACAAACCAGGACUACUGAAAAUGACUUACUGUGAUGAUGCUGAGAGGUGGGAGAGUGUCAGGGCUGAGGUCCUAAAUUCUUUCCUCAGGCCUUUUCUCUCCAUUAACUGAUGAGAAGAAAACUCUGUGACAAAGUGAUCAGACACUGUAAGGCACCGAGGGGCCAUGAUACGGCUUUAGGGGCGUGAGGACAAACGCCCCGGUGUGGUGUGAUGAUGUCAUCAGUUCUGUGAGGAAAUGACUGGUUCUUACUGAAAUAAAAAUAAUGACACUUUAUUGA